UUGCUCACUUUGGCAGCACAUAAUACUAAAAUUGAAAAGAUACAGAGAUUAGCAUGGCCCUGGAGCAAGGAUGACACACAAAUUUGUGAAGCUUUCCAUAUUUAA
Small nuclear RNA from Oryctolagus cuniculus (rabbit), 105 nucleotides. The record is from Ensembl. Lineage: Eukaryota; Metazoa; Chordata; Mammalia; Lagomorpha; Leporidae.